Molecule: unclassified non-coding RNA, 278 nt
Filed under: plant metagenome
Description: partial contains small subunit ribosomal RNA and internal transcribed spacer 1
Rfam family: Eukaryotic small subunit ribosomal RNA (bases 1-54)
Source: RNAcentral
GGAUGUAAAAGUCGUAACAAGGUUUCCGUAGGUGAACCUGCGGAAGGAUCAUUAUCGAAAUACUUAUUUAGCGUUCCGUGCUAUCCCAUUGUUUUAUUUACCCUGUUGCUUCCACUGGAUGAGUUUCCAUACCUUGUGUUUGAGAAACUUUGGCUUGUGUAAGAUUCAUUCACGGCCAGCCAGUGAGAAGACCAUUUACAAAACCCUGUUAAGAACCAAUUGUCUGAAUAUUUUACUCCAAUGAAAUAAAACUUUCAACAACGGAUCUCUAGGCUCUU